GAUGAACGCUGGCGGCGUGCCUAACACAUGCAAGUCGAACGGAGUCCAGCCUUUAAGACCUUCGGGUCAAAGAGGGGAAGCCUGAGUGGCGGACGGGUGAGUAACACGUGGGCAACCUGGCUCAUAGAGGGGGAUAACAGAGAGAAAUUUCUGCUAAUACCGCAUAAGCACACACUGCCGCAUGGCAGAGGGUGAAAAGAGAAUCGCUAUGAGUUGGACCCGCGUCUGAUUAGCCAGUUGGCAGGGUAAGAGCCUACCAAAGCGACGAUCAGUAGCCGAUCUGAGAGGAUGACCGGCCACAUUGGGACUGAGACACGGCCCAAACUCCUACGGGAGGCAGCAGUGGGGGAUAUUGCACAAUGGGGGGAACCCUGAUGCAGCGACGCCGCGUGAGUGAAGAAGUAUUUCGGUAUGUAAAGCUCUAUCAGCAGGGAAGAUAAUGACAGUACCUGAAUAAGAAGCCCCGGCUAACUACGUG
Molecule: ribosomal RNA, 478 nt
Filed under: uncultured bacterium
Lineage: Bacteria
Description: partial 16S ribosomal RNA
Rfam family: Bacterial small subunit ribosomal RNA
Source: RNAcentral